Juglans microcarpa x Juglans regia is the source of this 312-nucleotide long non-coding RNA. RefSeq lists it as uncharacterized. The transcript has 2 exons. Lineage: Eukaryota; Viridiplantae; Streptophyta; Magnoliopsida; Fagales; Juglandaceae. The record is from RefSeq and is a predicted model, not a curated record.
GGGAGGGAUUGGGUGCCUUACAUGGCACGACAACUUGGUGGACAUGAGAGUUUAUUCCAAUGGAGGACAAUAUUUAUAUCUACACGUGGAUGCAGCUACAUUAGCUCAAUAUGCAAAGAAGAAUGGUCUUCUUCAUAAUAAGGGAAAGCUGACGAUUCUUGUGGUUUCUAUUGCAGUAAUGUUGCUUAUUGUGGCUUCCAUAGUGUAUUGGUUCAUAAUGAGGAAGAUAAAGGGUAAGUAAAACAUGACUUUUAAAGCAGUUUCUUCAAUUCUUUUGCACUUUGAGAAUUUCUAACUGCAUUUGACGACAGA